RNAcentral lists this ribosomal RNA (2916 nucleotides) under Acinetobacter baumannii. RNAcentral describes it as "23S ribosomal RNA". It matches the Rfam family "Bacterial large subunit ribosomal RNA". Lineage: Bacteria; Pseudomonadati; Pseudomonadota; Gammaproteobacteria; Moraxellales; Moraxellaceae. The record is from RNAcentral.
GUUGUAUAGUCAAGUAAUUAAGUGCAUGUGGUGGAUGCCUUGGCAGUCAGAGGCGAUGAAAGACGUGAUAGCCUGCGAAAAGCUCCGGGGAGGCGGCAAAUAUCCUUUGAUCCGGAGAUGUCUGAAUGGGGGAACCCACCUACUUUAAGGUAGGUAUUGCAACAUGAAUACAUAGUGUUGCAAGGCGAACGAGGGGAAGUGAAACAUCUCAGUACCCUUAGGAAAAGAAAUCAAUUGAGAUUCCCUCAGUAGCGGCGAGCGAACGGGGAUCAGCCCAUUAAGUUAUGUGUGUUUUAGUGGAACGCUCUGGGAAGUGCGAACGUAGAGGGUGAUAUUCCCGUACACGAAAGGGCACACAUAAUGAUGACGAGUAGGGCGAGGCACGUGAAACCUUGUCUGAAUAUGGGGGGACCAUCCUCCAAGGCUAAAUACUCCUGACUGACCGAUAGUGAACCAGUACCGUGAGGGAAAGGCGAAAAGAACCCCUGUGAGGGGAGUGAAAUAGAUCCUGAAACCGCAUGCAUACAAGCAGUGGGAGCACCUUCGUGGUGUGACUGCGUACCUUUUGUAUAAUGGGUCAGCGACUUAUAUUCAGUAGCGAGGUUAACCGUAUAGGGGAGCCGUAGAGAAAUCGAGUCUUAAUAGGGCGUUUAGUUGCUGGGUAUAGACCCGAAACCAGGCGAUCUAUCCAUGAGCAGGUUGAAGGUUGGGUAACACUAACUGGAGGACCGAACCCACUGUCGUUGAAAAGCCAGGGGAUGACUUGUGGAUAGGGGUGAAAGGCUAAUCAAGCCUGGUGAUAGCUGGUUCUCCCCGAAAGCUAUUUAGGUAGCGCCUCGGACGAAUACCAUAGGGGGUAGAGCACUGUUUCGGCUAGGGGGUCAUCCCGACUUACCAAACCGAUGCAAACUCCGAAUACCUAUGAGUACUAUCCGGGAGACAGACUGCGGGUGCUAACGUCCGUAGUCAAGAGGAAAACAAUCCAGACCGCCAGCUAAGGCCCCAAAAUCAUAGUUAAGUGGGAAACGAUGUGGGAAGGCAUAGACAGCUAGGAGGUUGGCUUAGAAGCAGCCACCCUUUAAAGAAAGCGUAAUAGCUCACUAGUCGAGUCGGCCUGCGCGGAAGAUGUAACGGGGCUAAAACUAUGUGCCGAAGCUGCGGAUGUAUACUUUGUAUACGUGGUAGGGGAGCGUUCUGUAAGCCGAUGAAGGUGUUGAGAAGCAUGCUGGAGGUAUCAGAAGUGCGAAUGCUGACGUGAGUAACGACAAAACGGGUGAAAAACCCGUUCGCCGAAAGACCAAGGGUUCCAGUCCAACGUUAAUCGGGGCUGGGUGAGUCGACCCCUAAGGCGAGGCCGAAAGGCGUAGUCGAUGGGAAAAUGGUUAAUAUUCCAUUACUUCUGUGUAAUGCGAUGAGAGGACGGAGAAGGCUAAAUCAGCCUGGCGUUGGUUGUCCAGGUGAAAGGAUGUAGGCAUGUAUCUUAGGCAAAUCCGGGGUACUCUAUGCUGAGAUCUGAUAGCAAGCUGUACUUGUACAGCGAAGUGGUUGAUGCCAUGCUUCCAGGAAAAGUCUCUAAGCUUCAGUUACACAGGAAUCGUACCCGAAACCGACACAGGUGGUCAGGUCGAGUAGACCAAGGCGCUUGAGAGAACUCUGCUGAAGGAACUAGGCAAAAUGGUACCGUAACUUCGGGAGAAGGUACGCUGUUGUUGGUGAUGGAACUCGCUUCCUGAGCUGACGACAGCCGCAGAAACCAGGCCGCUGCAACUGUUUAUUAAAAACAUAGCACUCUGCAAACACGAAAGUGGACGUAUAGGGUGUGAUGCCUGCCCGGUGCUGGAAGGUUAAUUGAUGGGGUUAGCGUAAGCGAAGCUCUUGAUCGAAGCCCCAGUAAACGGCGGCCGUAACUAUAACGGUCCUAAGGUAGCGAAAUUCCUUGUCGGGUAAGUUCCGACCUGCACGAAUGGCAUAAUGAUGGCGGCGCUGUCUCCAGCAGAGGCUCAGUGAAAUCGAAAUCGCUGUGAAGAUGCAGUGUACCCGCGGCUAGACGGAAAGACCCCGUGAACCUUUACUGCAGCUUGACACUGAACUUUGACCUUACUUGUGUAGGAUAGGUGGGAGGCUUUGAAGCUGGAACGCUAGUUCCAGUGGAGCCGUCCUUGAAAUACCACCCUGGUAAUGUUGAGGUUCUAACUCUGUCCCGUGAUCCGGGACGAGGACCGUGUCUGGUGGGUAGUUUGACUGGGGCGGUCUCCUCCUAAAGAGUAACGGAGGAGUACGAAGGUGCGCUCAGCGUGGUCGGAAAUCACGCGUAGAGUAUAAAGGCAAAAGCGCGCUUAACUGCGAGACCCACAAGUCGAGCAGGUACGAAAGUAGGUCUUAGUGAUCCGGUGGUUCUGUAUGGAAGGGCCAUCGCUCAACGGAUAAAAGGUACUCUGGGGAUAACAGGCUGAUACCGCCCAAGAGUUCAUAUCGACGGCGGUGUUUGGCACCUCGAUGUCGGCUCAUCUCAUCCUGGGGCUGAAGCAGGUCCCAAGGGUAUGGCUGUUCGCCAUUUAAAGAGGUACGCGAGCUGGGUUUAGAACGUCGUGAGACAGUUCGGUCCCUAUCUACCGUGGGCGCUGGAAAUUUGAGAGGAUCUGCUCCUAGUACGAGAGGACCAGAGUGGACGAACCUCUGGUGUACCGGUUGUGACGCCAGUCGCAUCGCCGGGUAGCUAUGUUCGGAAGGGAUAACCGCUGAAAGCAUCUAAGCGGGAAGCCUACCUCAAGAUAAGAUUUCCCUAGGACUUUAUGUCCUCUAAAGAGCCGUUCGAGACUAGGACGUUGAUAGGUUGGAUGUGGAAGCAUAGUGAUAUGUGAAGCUGACCAAUACUAAUUGCUCGUGAGGCUUGACUAUACAACACCCAAGCAGUUG